Molecule: ribosomal RNA, 253 nt
Filed under: uncultured bacterium
Lineage: Bacteria
Description: partial 16S ribosomal RNA
Rfam family: Bacterial small subunit ribosomal RNA
Source: RNAcentral
UACGGGGGGGGCAAGCGUUGUUCGGAAUUACUGGGCGUAAAGGGCCAGUAGGCGGCCAACUAAGUCGGAUGUGAAAUCCCCAGGCUUAACCUGGGAACUGCAUCCGAUACUGGAUGGCUUGAAUUCGGGAGAGGGAUGCAGAAUUCCAGGUGUAGCGGUGAAAUGCGUAGAUAUCUGGAGGAACACCGGUGGCGAAGGCGGCAUCCUGGACCGGUAUUGACGCUGAUGCGCGAAAGCCAGGGGAGCAAACGGG